UACGAAGGAUGCAAGCGUUAUCCGGAUUUAUUGGGUUUAAAGGGAGCGUAGGCGGUCUUAUAAGUCAGUGGUGAAAUCCUAUCGCUUAACGAUAGACGUGCCAUUGAUACUGUAGGACUUGAGUACAGAUGCCGUUGGCGGAAUGUGUCAUGUAGCGGUGAAAUGCAUAGAUAUGACACAGAACACCGAUUGCGAAGGCAGCUGACGAAACUGUAACUGACGCUGAGGCCUACGGAA
Molecule: ribosomal RNA, 237 nt
Filed under: uncultured bacterium
Lineage: Bacteria
Description: partial 16S ribosomal RNA
Rfam family: Bacterial small subunit ribosomal RNA
Source: RNAcentral